UACGUAGGGUGCAAGCGUUGUCCGGAAUUAUUGGGCGUAAAGAGCGUGUAGGCGGCCAGGUAGGUCUGCUGUGAAAACUCGAGGCUCAACCUCGAGACGUCGGCGGAAACCAUCUGGCUAGAGUCCGGAAGAGGAGAGUGGAAUUCCUGGUGUAGCGGUGAAAUGCGCAGAUAUCAGGAAGAACACCCGUGGCGAAGGCGGCUCUCUGGGACGGUACUGACGCUGAAGACGCGGAAAGCGUGGGGAGCGAACAGG
RNAcentral lists this ribosomal RNA (255 nucleotides) under uncultured bacterium. RNAcentral describes it as "partial 16S ribosomal RNA". It matches the Rfam family "Bacterial small subunit ribosomal RNA", at positions 524 to 776 of the family's 1533-position model. The record is from RNAcentral.